This 1512-nucleotide ribosomal RNA is filed under the name Acinetobacter baumannii. RNAcentral describes it as "partial 23S ribosomal RNA". It matches the Rfam family "Bacterial large subunit ribosomal RNA", at positions 1291 to 2787 of the family's 2925-position model. The record is from RNAcentral. Lineage: Bacteria; Pseudomonadati; Pseudomonadota; Gammaproteobacteria; Moraxellales; Moraxellaceae.
CGAAUGCUGACGUGAGUAACGACAAAACGGGUGAAAAACCCGUUCGCCGAAAGACCAAGGGUUCCAGUCCAACGUUAAUCGGGGCUGGGUGAGUCGACCCCUAAGGCGAGGCCGAAAGGCGUAGUCGAUGGGAAAAUGGUUAAUAUUCCAUUACUUCUGUGUAAUGCGAUGAGAGGACGGAGAAGGCUAAAUCAGCCUGGCGUUGGUUGUCCAGGUGAAAGGAUGUAGGCAUGUAUCUUAGGCAAAUCCGGGGUACUCUAUGCUGAGAUCUGAUAGCAAGCUGUACUUGUACAGCGAAGUGGUUGAUGCCAUGCUUCCAGGAAAAGUCUCUAAGCUUCAGUUACACAGGAAUCGUACCCGAAACCGACACAGGUGGUCAGGUCGAGUAGACCAAGGCGCUUGAGAGAACUCUGCUGAAGGAACUAGGCAAAAUGGUACCGUAACUUCGGGAGAAGGUACGCUGUUGUUGGUGAUGGAACUCGCUUCCUGAGCUGACGACAGCCGCAGAAACCAGGCCGCUGCAACUGUUUAUUAAAAACAUAGCACUCUGCAAACACGAAAGUGGACGUAUAGGGUGUGAUGCCUGCCCGGUGCUGGAAGGUUAAUUGAUGGGGUUAGCGUAAGCGAAGCUCUUGAUCGAAGCCCCAGUAAACGGCGGCCGUAACUAUAACGGUCCUAAGGUAGCGAAAUUCCUUGUCGGGUAAGUUCCGACCUGCACGAAUGGCAUAAUGAUGGCGGCGCUGUCUCCAGCAGAGGCUCAGUGAAAUCGAAAUCGCUGUGAAGAUGCAGUGUACCCGCGGCUAGACGGAAAGACCCCGUGAACCUUUACUGCAGCUUGACACUGAACUUUGACCUUACUUGUGUAGGAUAGGUGGGAGGCUUUGAAGCUGGAACGCUAGUUCCAGUGGAGCCGUCCUUGAAAUACCACCCUGGUAAUGUUGAGGUUCUAACUCUGUCCCGUGAUCCGGGACGAGGACCGUGUCUGGUGGGUAGUUUGACUGGGGCGGUCUCCUCCUAAAGAGUAACGGAGGAGUACGAAGGUGCGCUCAGCGUGGUCGGAAAUCACGCGUAGAGUAUAAAGGCAAAAGCGCGCUUAACUGCGAGACCCACAAGUCGAGCAGGUACGAAAGUAGGUCUUAGUGAUCCGGUGGUUCUGUAUGGAAGGGCCAUCGCUCAACGGAUAAAAGGUACUCUGGGGAUAACAGGCUGAUACCGCCCAAGAGUUCAUAUCGACGGCGGUGUUUGGCACCUCGAUGUCGGCUCAUCUCAUCCUGGGGCUGAAGCAGGUCCCAAGGGUAUGGCUGUUCGCCAUUUAAAGAGGUACGCGAGCUGGGUUUAGAACGUCGUGAGACAGUUCGGUCCCUAUCUACCGUGGGCGCUGGAAAUUUGAGAGGAUCUGCUCCUAGUACGAGAGGACCAGAGUGGACGAACCUCUGGUGUACCGGUUGUGACGCCAGUCGCAUCGCCGGGUAGCUAUGUUCGGAAGGGAUAACCGCUGAAAGCAUCUAAGCG